RNAcentral lists this non-coding RNA (126 nucleotides) under Octodon degus (degu). Lineage: Eukaryota; Metazoa; Chordata; Mammalia; Rodentia; Octodontidae. The record is from RNAcentral.
GCAUUGUAUGAAAGAAGAGAAAGUUAGCACUCCCCUUGACAAGGAUGGAAGAGGCCCUCAGGCCUGACAACAAGCAUACAGUUAAAGCAUUGCCACCUAAUUCGUGGCAUCUAAGCACUGUUUUUG